UCCGUAGGUGGAUAAUUAAGUCAGAGGUGAAAUCUCAUAGCUUAACUAUGAAACUGCCAUUGAUACUGCAGGUCUUGAGUAAGGUAGAAGUAGCUGGAAUAAGUAGUGUAGCGGUGAAAUGCAUAGAUAUUACUUAGAACACCAAUUGCGAAGGCAGGUUACUAUGUCUUAACUGACGCUGAUGGACGAAAGCGUGGGGAGCGAACAGGAUUAGAUACCCUGGUAGUCC
This 229-nucleotide ribosomal RNA is filed under the name uncultured bacterium. RNAcentral's name for it is "partial 16S ribosomal RNA". It matches the Rfam family "Bacterial small subunit ribosomal RNA", at positions 568 to 796 of the family's 1533-position model. The record is from RNAcentral.